UCUUUCAGGAUACUGUCAGUCGUUUUAAAGAUGAAUAUAUUUACAGACACAUCAUAGACACUGAACUGAAGGAACAUGUAUUUCUCCAUUGGUUGCACACAUUGCAACUUCACGAUUUCUACAAGAGCAGACAAGAUCAAUCAACAACUCAUACCCAUGCCACUGAAGCUGAUUCUCAUACCUCUGAAGCUGAUUCUCAUACCGCUGAAGCUGAUACCCUUACCACUAAAGCUGAUUCUCAUACCACUGAAGCUGAUAUUCAUACUACUGAAGCUGAUUCUCAUACCACUGAAGCAGGAGAAAGUACUGAAGACCAGACUGAUGCUAAAACUAUUGCUGUGGCAGAUACAGAGUCAAAAAUUUAAAAUUUACACAGAAAA
This is a long non-coding RNA of Amphimedon queenslandica, 380 nucleotides long. RefSeq lists it as uncharacterized. The record is from RefSeq and is a predicted model, not a curated record. The transcript is spliced from 2 exons. Lineage: Eukaryota; Metazoa; Porifera; Demospongiae; Haplosclerida; Niphatidae.